Molecule: ribosomal RNA, 253 nt
Filed under: uncultured bacterium
Lineage: Bacteria
Description: partial 16S ribosomal RNA
Rfam family: Bacterial small subunit ribosomal RNA
Source: RNAcentral
CACGUAGGGUGCGAGCGUUGUCCGGAAUUACUGGGCGUAAAGAGCUCGUAGGCGGUUUGUCGCGUCUGCCGUGAAAGUCCGGGGCUCAACUCCGGAUCUGCGGUGGGUACGGGCAGACUAGAGUGAUGUAGGGGAGACUGGAAUUCCUGGUGUAGCGGUGAAAUGCGCAGAUAUCAGGAGGAACACCGAUGGCGAAGGCAGGUCUCUGGGCAUUAACUGACGCUGAGGAGCGAAAGCAUGGGGAGCGAACAGG